GAGUGUGAGAGCGAGAACAGCCCCGCAGGUCCCGAGGCGCUGGCUGGGGACAAUGCCGCGGAAAGUUCCCAGUCCCCAGCCGCAGAUCUGCAGAAUUGAAAUGAAAUGUUUUGAGCUCUUCAAGCUGACUCGUCAGAAUCCUGGAGCCUUUUAAAAAAUGACGAAUUGGAAGGAAAAAUUACUUUAUCAAUAACCAGGCUCCACCAGGAUUGACCUAGAUGGUUGUUCCUGGCACUUGUCAUUCUCAGCAAGCACAGCUCAGAGAACAAAUACAAAAGACCCAAAGUGCAUUGCAUCUUUUAUGGAAGUGCCCAAUGUGGAAAUCAUAGAUUUCAAGGAAGGAACAAGAAAAUUGAUGAAACAAGUUCAAAAGAAAGGUACCUGUGCCUCAUCAUUCCUAAAGAACACUGAUCAAUGAUCCCAGAAGUAUGCCAUGUUCUCUUAAUUCAUCAGAGACUGAAAGCAAAGGAAAAUCAAGAAAUAAGCUUGGCCAAUUUGAUGUCAAUGGAAAUGCGUGAGAUUUUUAUUCAGCAUUCACACCUGAGCAAUGCUUUUGGUCAUGAUGUCAUACUAAGAAGAAACCACCUGAGAUGAGACUGUUAGAUGUUCAGAGCAAACAAAAACAAAAACAGACCAACAAAAAAAACCCAAAACAAAACAGAAGUUUCUGAAGGACAGCAGAAAUGGCUUUGCAGGACCACAACAACCACUCCCAGUCAUGAUGGAGAGAAGUGUUCAAUACCCACAGAUCCUGAACGUUGAGCUGAUUAUACUAACUAGAUGGGACUUAGUUUUGUCUACCGUGGGGUGAGCGUAUACUACCUGAGGGAACAGGUUCUCUAUGGUGAAGAUGGCAACUUGCUGACUCAGUCUCAGAAUGCGUUAAAUCCACAUAUUCUGGCAAGUGGAGUUCUGCUUCUCCAAUAUCUCUUCCAGACUAAGUCUCGAAAGGACAGUAAUUGAUCCACCCUGAGUCAUAUGCCCAUGUCCAAAGCAAUGAGUUUGGGAAAUUUCAUGACACACUCCUAAUUUUGUGGUAGGAGACACAUCAGAACCACACAAUGAGUCAGUCCUAUUUAUGAAAUAGAGGUUCAUCUAUCAGAUGAAAGGGAAAAAAGUUGUAAAAACAAAACAGAUGUUCACUAAUGGGGAUCUAUCUGAAUUUCACCUGUAACUACAAAUGCUCACAAGUAGAUUUACAGUUUUCCUAGAGUGUCAUGAAUUUAAAAACAUAUGCAUGGAAUCAUAAAGUAAUAUCCUAAUCACCUCUCACAACCUUUCUCUCCUUAACAUAAAAUGAGAAUAUUUUAGCAGCAGGAGAAGGAUUUUCAUUUAUAGACCUUUAUCAGACACUAAUGUAGGAUUGAGUUUGACCUGAUACAGUGUUCUAUCUCUGAGUGUUGUCACUCAGUUUUAUCAUAAAUAAAAUUUAUUUUAUAUGAUAUCAUAUAGAGAACAAAUUUACUUAUUUUUCUCAUGUAAUCAUGUAAUCAAUUGUUCCAACAUAAUCCAUUGAAUAGAUAUUGUGGCAUUUCCCUAAUUAUUUAUAAAGGCACUGUUACUAGAUAUGAAUAUUUAUAUAUGAGGAUAUGAAUCGUGGCUCUCUGAUUUGUUCAUUAUUUGCUUGUCUAUUCCUGUGCCAGUAUCAUACAAUUGGUACUAAUAUAGUGUUCUGAUAUUGACAGGAUGAAGUGCUCCUUCUAAUGAUGUAGCUUUAAAUUUGUCUUGGUUGUGCAUUUCUUUUUAUUCUUCCAUAGAGAUUUGUGGUUCAGUUGUCAGCUUUGAAAAUCACUUUUGGGAUUUGAAUUUGAAUUGCAUGAAAUUUGUAGACUAACUUGUAGAAAAUAGACAUUUUUAUGAUAUGAAUUUACACAUCCUUGUAACCAUGGGUGUGUUAUUUAUUUUCACUUUUGAAUAUUAUUGUGGGUAUUUAGUAAUAAAAAUAACAAUCGACGAGUUACAUGGUGGUUACUAUGUGACAGAUGUUGUCAAAGUUCCAUCCAUAUAUCAACUUAUUAUAUAUUCUUAUGGGAAGAGACCGUUAUUAUCUCCAUUACACAAGUAAGAAAAUCGAGGUACAAAGAGCUUAAGUAACAUGUGCUAAGUCAUAUAAGAGUAAAGCUUUAUUUGAAUCCAUGCAGUUUGUCUCCAGAGCUUGAAAUCCAUUUUAUUUUAUUUUAUUUUUGCUUUUUAAAAAAAAUUUUUUUGAGACGGAAUCUCGCUUUGUUGCCCAGGCUGGAGUGCAGUGGCACAAUCGCGGCUCAUUGCAACCUCCACCUCCUGGGUUCAAGCAAUUCUCCUGCCUCAGCCUCCCGAGUAGCUGGGACUACAGGUGGGCACCACCACGCCCAGCUAAUUUUUUGUAUUUUUAGUAGAGAAUGGGGUUUCACCAUGUUAGCCAGGAUGGUCUCGAUCUCAUGACCUCAUGUUCCACCUGCCUCGGUCUCCCAAAGUGCUGGGAUUACAGGCGUGAGCCACUGCAUCCAGCCUGAAAUAUUUACCAGUAUCUGAUAUUGCCUCACUAAGAACUUUGCCCAACUCCUUAGUGAUUCUACCAUUGGCUUAGUAUUUUGGAUUUUCUAGUAGACAAUAAUAUCGUGUGCAUAAAGCAAAUACAAUUAUUAUUACAAUAAAAUUUUUAAACUACUCAUUUGUACUUGCUUUCAUAAAGCCUUAGCUAAUUCCAACAAAAUAUUGAUUACUGUGGGAGAGAGUGGUAAAUCUUAUUUUGUACCUAAUAUUAAAUAAAAUGCUACUAAAUAUAAGUGAGAUGCUUGCUAUAAGUUUUAGUAGUUAAACACUAUAAAGUUAUUUCUUGUCUAUUUUCAAGAAUUUUUUAUUAUUUUAAAUGCAUGUGCAAUUUUUUUAAAAAGUAUUGUUUUGCAUCUAAUGUUAAAUAAAAUGCUUCUAAGUAUUAGUACUAAAUAUCAGUGAGAGGCUUGUUGUAAGUUUUAGUAGUUAAACACUAUAAAGUUAUUUAUUUUCUAUUUUCAAGAGUUUAUAUUAUUAUAAAUGCAUGUACAAUUAAAAAAGUCUUAUUUGCUCUUCUUUUCUAAUGUUAAAACAUUUGUGCUUUCCUGAGAUGAAUGCUGUGCUCUCAUGAAAGAUUGCAGAGUCAAAAAGUAGCCUCUGGAGUUAAGACUUUCUGGUUUUAGAGCCUCCUAUGGCCACUUACUAAUUAUGGGUCUUAGGAGAGUUACUGAACCUUCAUAAUGGGUACCAAUCCUAGAUCCUGUCAAAAGGGAUCCUUCUCUUGGCGAUGACUUUGGAAGAUCCUUUGCAUGACAAUAAAAAAAAAAGUAUUAUUAGAUCUAAUUUAUUAGAUAACACUUGGGUGUCUCUAAGUGUUAUGGUGGUAAACGUUCAACAGGCUCUCAAAAAUGCAUAUAUGUAUAUGUUUAUAUAGAUACAUAUACACUCAAAUGUGUAUAUAUGUAUAUAUACACACUAAUAUGUUUAUCAUAAAUUUUAUUGAUAUAAAGGU
This is a long non-coding RNA of Homo sapiens (human), 3484 nucleotides long. Ensembl annotates it as PCDH10 divergent transcript. Its record names the gene PCDH10-DT. NCBI's taxonomy places the organism in Eukaryota, Metazoa, Chordata, Mammalia, Primates, Hominidae. The record is from Ensembl.